Molecule: long non-coding RNA, 2309 nt
Filed under: Mytilus galloprovincialis (Mediterranean mussel)
Lineage: Eukaryota; Metazoa; Mollusca; Bivalvia; Mytilida; Mytilidae
Source: RNAcentral
UCUAAUGAAAAGUUGUCUCUUUGGCAAUCAUCUCCUUUUUGUAUGACUUAUAUUUAUUAGUUCAUGUCAAACUAUAUAAUGUCUAACCCAAGUAACACUAUAAUUAUCAUCCAGAUAACAAAAGAAAAACAAUAUUAGAUCUGUAUAAUUUAUUAUUAAAUUUAAUGUAAAAUACAUUCAUAUAUAAAUGUGUCUGGAAAUAUGAAAAUUCAAUAAAAGUUUGAAUCAAAUUAAAAAUAUCAUUAGAUAUUAAUAAAAUAUAAAAACAAUAAAACAUAGUUUAAAGACAUAGUAUUCAUCUUUAAACCAUUCUGUUUUGGUGUUUUUUCUGUCACAAUAACAUUUUAAAAUGAUAACUUAUCUAUGAAAUUAAAACUCCUCAAAAAGAACUAAGGUAAAUUCAAGUAGCAGAAACAUGAAUCAAACAAUUUUUCUUUCAAAGGCUAACAAAGUUUAAAAAGCUGCUAUAUCAUGGAAUAGGAUAAACAAUUAACAAGAAAAUUGAUCUUAAAAACAAUUGUCACCGAAAAUUGAUCUAGAAAACAAUUAUGACAUUGGUUGCAAUGAGUAACUGUGAUUUCCCAGUGAAUUAAUAACUGAAUAUUUCACAUCUCUGACAUCAUACAAUAAUGGGUGUUGUCAAGUCAUUGACAAUGACCUCACAUUAAAAUGAAUUGAGAAUGCUAUAAAAAGAUAGUUCUUUCUAAUUUGAUUUAUUUAUUUCCAUUUAAAAUGUCCACGGUCAAUGUAAUAAAAAAAAACUAAUCGAAGAAUUCAAAUAUCGAAAACAGUGAUAAUUUAUUCGUAUGCUACCUGCAUUCAUGAAUUAAUAUGUUGUUCGGUCACUAAAUGAUUAUUUUUAGUUAUUCUAUAAAUGGUUUUGGUUGUAAUUUAUUUCUGUUUAGUUUUUAUCAUCCGUUUAUAAAUCUGGUAUCUACUCAUUAAAAUCUUAUUUUAGUUAUCUCCAGAUUAUUUAAUAAAUCCACCAAUCUAAAUUUUAAUAGCACUUUGAUUGUAUUUCAUAUCCAAACAGAAGCAUUUAAGUAUAUGUAUGAUAAAAACUAAAAUAUGUACAAAAAUGUCAAUAUAAAAAUACACAAUUAAAAUCUAUGUUACACAUAUAUAAUUAUAAGACAUAUAUGGCAAAUCCUCUGAUAUGUACCUACUACAUUUUCAUAGAACACACAAAAUGUAAUUUACAAUGAAAAUUCAACUAUAUUUCUAUGAUUUCAUAAAAAUCCCUAUAAUUUAUCUUUUACUUCAAUCAAUACAGGAAUUUUAUUUCUAGAUCCUCUUCAAGAAUUUGGAAUGUACAAAAUAUCAUAUAAAACAUUUAGUAUGUUCAACAUACAUGUCAAGCUAAGAAAACAAUUCUGUGUAUAAAAUGUAUACACAAUAUGUGUAUAAAAUGUAUACACAAUAUAACUUUGAAUUAAGGUUUGCAGUUUUUGGUUAUUCCCUGAAAUUUUGGAAUGUAGAAAACAAACAAGAUAUGAACUAUAACAGUUAUUGAUGAUAUGUAAAAAGUUGCAUCCAAAUAUUCACAUUUUAUACAAAUACAGUGGUCAUAUUUACAUAUUUACAAUUAAUAAUAAAAUUGGAAUGUCUUCAAAAUUUUUGUAGCAACAGAUGAAAAAUGUCAUUUGCAAUUUUACAGAUAUAAAGUAAUUUGAGUGUGUACAUGGUGUACAGUGUUCUCCCCAGGCCGUUUUAGCACAGCGCUUUUCAGAGCUAUUGCAAUUCCCCGCUGUCCUAUAGCACUGACCGCAGCGCUAUCCAACGCAACCGCGUCGCUAUAUUUUUUUUCCGUAUUUUUCAAUUUUUUUUCAAAUUUCCCGCUUAUUUUUCACUUCGGAUCACGUGAUCGACUGGUUUACGAUUUUUGAAUGAAUUAUUUCCGUUGUAUUAAAGUAACUUCACGGGACCAGUCUAAUAAAUUUUACAAAAAUGGCGUUUUUGGAAGAUCAAAAUAAACAAAGAUUUCAACAUUGACAUCGAUUUUUUUAAUUUAAAGAAAAUAUAGAGGCAUAUAUGAAUGAAAUGUGAUGAAAUGAAUUGACCGCAUUUCCCGACGUCACUCACAAACUUGUUUUACGAACUUUGAACAAACGAUGAUUUUAAAAACGAUCAAACACAGGGGUUUGUUACAAAUUAUUUGCCGGGUUUACUAUCCAUACGAACCCCGAAAAUGACCAAGUCUUUUAAAUAUUAAUUAUCCCCUAUUCGAACUUAUAAUUUGUCAGAAAUUCUUCCAUUUGAUAACAAUUUGAGAGGAUAUGAUUAGCAAAACAAACCCCAAGCUGAUACGA